RNAcentral lists this transfer RNA (84 nucleotides) under Leptolobium dasycarpum. Its description in RNAcentral is "tRNA-Tyr". It matches the Rfam family "tRNA". From Rfam's summary of the family: Transfer RNA (tRNA) molecules are approximately 80 nucleotides in length. Their secondary structure includes four short double-helical elements and three loops (D, anti-codon, and T loops). Further hydrogen bonds mediate the characteristic L-shaped molecular structure. tRNAs have two regions of fundamental functional importance: the anti-codon, which is responsible for specific mRNA codon recognition, and the 3' end, to which the tRNAs corresponding amino acid is attached (by aminoacyl-tRNA synthetases). tRNAs cope with the degeneracy of the genetic code in two manners: having more than one tRNA (with a specific anti-codon) for a particular amino acid; and 'wobble' base-pairing, i.e. permitting non-standard base-pairing at the 3rd anti-codon position. RNAcentral also lists the same sequence under 1 other name. The record is from RNAcentral. Lineage: Eukaryota; Viridiplantae; Streptophyta; Magnoliopsida; Fabales; Fabaceae.
GGGUCGAUGCCCGAGCGGUUAAUGGGGACGGACUGUAAAUUCGUUGGCGAUAUGUCUACGCUGGUUCAAAUCCGGCUCGGCCCA